GUCCACGCCGUAAACGAUGAUAACUCGUUGCAGGCGAUACACAGUCUGUGACUUAGCGAAAGCGUUAAGUUAUCCACCUGGGGAGUACGUUCGCAAGAAUGAAACUCAAAGGAAUUGACGGGGGCCCGCACAAGCGGAGGAACAUGUGGUUUAAUUCGAUGAUACGCGAGGAACCUUACCCGGGCUUGAAAGUUAGCGACGGAUCCUGAAAGGGGUCUUCUCUUCGGAGCGCGAAACUAGGUGCUGCAUGGUUGUCGU
Molecule: ribosomal RNA, 258 nt
Filed under: uncultured bacterium
Lineage: Bacteria
Description: partial 16S ribosomal RNA
Rfam family: Bacterial small subunit ribosomal RNA
Source: RNAcentral